ACAUUCCGAAAGGGAUGCUAAUACCGCAUACGUCCUACGGGAGAAAGCAGGGGAUCUUCGGACCUUGCGCUAAUAGAUGAGCCUAAGUCGGAUUAGCUAGUUGGUGGGGUAAAGGCCUACCAAGGCGACGAUCUGUAGCGGGUCUGAGAGGAUGAUCCGCCACACUGGGACUGAGACACGGCCCAGACUCCUACGGGAGGCAGCAGUGGGGAAUAUUGGACAAUGGGGGGAACCCUGAUCCAGCCAUGCCGCGUGUGUGAAGAAGGCCUUAUGGUUGUAAAGCACUUUAAGCGAGGAGGAGGCUACUGAGACUAAUACUCUUGGAUAGUGGACGUUACUCGCAGAAUAAGCACCGGCUAACUCUGUGCCAGCAGCCGCGGUAAUACAGAGGGUGCGAGCGUUAAUCGGAUUUACUGGGCGUAAAGCGUGCGUAGGCGGCUUUUUAAGUCGGAUGUGAAAUCCCCGAGCUUAACUUGGGAAUUGCAUUCGAUACUGGGAAGCUAGAGUAUGGGAGAGGAUGGUAAAAUUCCCGUGUAGCGGUGAAAUGGCGUAGAGAUCUGGAAGGAUUACCUGAUGGCGAAGGCAGGCAUCUGUCCUACUACUGACGCUGAGGUACGAAAGCAUGGGGAGCAAACAGGAUUAGAUACCUUGGUAGUCCAUGCCGUAAACGAUGCUACUAGCCGUUUGGGGCCUUUGAGCUUUAUUGCC
RNAcentral lists this ribosomal RNA (708 nucleotides) under uncultured bacterium. RNAcentral's name for it is "bacterial SSU rRNA". It matches the Rfam family "Bacterial small subunit ribosomal RNA", at positions 146 to 847 of the family's 1533-position model. The record is from RNAcentral.